AUUGAACGCUAGCGGGAUGCUUUACACAUGCAAGUCGAACGGCAGCGCGGACUUCGGUCUGGCGGCGCGUGGCGAACGGGUGAGUAAUGUAUCGGAACGUGCCCAGCAGCGGGGGAUAACUACGCGAAAGCGUAGCUAAUACCGCAUACGCCCUACGGGGGAAAGCAGGGGAUCGUAAGACCUUGCACUAUUGGAGCGGCCGAUGUCGGAUUAGCUAGUUGGUGAGGUAACGGCUUACCAAGGCGACGAUCCGUAGCUGAUUUGAGAGGACGACCAGCCACACUGGGACUGAGACACGGCCCAGACUCCUACGGGAGGCAGCAGUAGGGAAUUUUGGACAAUGGGGGCAAGCCUGAUCCAGCCAUCCCGCGUGUGCGAUGAAGGCCUUCGGGUUGUAAAGCACUGUUGUCAGGAAAGAAACGUCGCGGGCUAAUACCCCGUGGAACUGACGGUACCUGCAGAAUAAGCACCGGCUAACUACGUG
This 484-nucleotide ribosomal RNA is filed under the name uncultured bacterium. Its description in RNAcentral is "partial 16S ribosomal RNA". It matches the Rfam family "Bacterial small subunit ribosomal RNA", at positions 30 to 507 of the family's 1533-position model. The record is from RNAcentral.